CCCGGUCGUCGCGGGCGCCGGCCGCCGCCUGUUCGAGCCGGGCGACCCGAUGACGCGGCUCGAGCUGCGCCGCUCGGAGACCACGAGCCGGGGC
RNAcentral lists this transfer RNA (94 nucleotides) under Clavibacter michiganensis. Its description in RNAcentral is "tRNA-Ser". Lineage: Bacteria; Bacillati; Actinomycetota; Actinomycetes; Micrococcales; Microbacteriaceae. The record is from RNAcentral.